CGUACAUAGAGAAGUAAGGGCCCUAUAGCAAGAAUCAAACCAGCCCCCCCACAGGACAGAAGGGUUUCUGCCCAAACCCCUUUCAAUGACCUUUGGACCAUGUUUUCCACUGCCUUAUUUGCUAAAAGUAGUUCCUUUAGAGAGUAGAGUCCUGACCAAGUUUUCACCCCCAGUAACCUAUACAGC
Long non-coding RNA from Bufo bufo (common toad), 186 nucleotides. RefSeq lists it as uncharacterized. The transcript has 3 exons. Lineage: Eukaryota; Metazoa; Chordata; Amphibia; Anura; Bufonidae. The record is from RefSeq and is a predicted model, not a curated record.